CACAGAUAAUCGGGAUUAAUCGCACCUUUUUUAUCUCAAGAUGUGUUGUAUAUCAGACUCCUACCCAGUGUCUCCCUGUGUUCCCAGCCCUUUUGUCUCCUGUGUGUGUGGAGGUACAGUUGGGCGUAACUUCCUUCCUCCUCCUCCUCUCGGACGUUGCGGCUGGCACACCUGAUGAGGAUCUUCCAAUCAUGUUCAACCUCUGCAGUAUAUCAACCCUGGGAUUCCUUCCACAAUCUGCCAGAUCGUUCAGUCACCUUCUGUGAUCCACCACAUCUGCUUGCAGCCUUCGCUCUGCCUGCCUGUCUGCCUGCCUGCCUGCCUGCCUGCCACUCUCCAGCUACUCCUUCUUAGUAGCUUUAUUGAGCUCACAAAUCAUCCCUGUGCUUAACUCUGGAGGAGAGUGGGAAUUCGCUCCUUGUGCCCUGCCUGUCCACACUAGGAUCAACUCUCCAGGACUGGACACCCCGAGCUCCUUCGACCAGCCCCCUACCCACUCCUCAUUUUUGUUAUUUAAUAAAUUUACCUUAACUUGA
Molecule: long non-coding RNA, 536 nt
Organism: Sebastes umbrosus (honeycomb rockfish)
Lineage: Eukaryota; Metazoa; Chordata; Actinopteri; Perciformes; Sebastidae
Exons: 2
Source: RefSeq, a predicted model, not a curated record